Molecule: ribosomal RNA, 490 nt
Filed under: uncultured bacterium
Lineage: Bacteria
Description: partial 16S ribosomal RNA
Rfam family: Bacterial small subunit ribosomal RNA
Source: RNAcentral
AUUGAACGCUGGCGGCAGGCCUAACACAUGCAAGUCGAACGGUAACAGGAAGCAGCUUGCUGCUUUGCUGACGAGUGGCGGACGGGUGAGUAAUGUCUGGGAAACUGCCUGAUGGAGGGGGAUAACUACUGGAAACGGUAGCUAAUACCGCAUAACGUCGCAAGACCAAAGAGGGGGACCUUCGGGCCUCUUGCCAUCGGAUGUGCCCAGAUGGGAUUAGCUAGUAGGUGGGGUAACGGCUCACCUAGGCGACGAUCCCUAGCUGGUCUGAGAGGAUGACCAUCCACCCUGGAACUGAAGGCCGGUCCAGACUCCUACGGGAGGCAGCAGUCGCGAAUAUUGGACAAUGGGCGCAAGCCUGAUGCAGCCAUGCCGCGUGUAUGACGACGGCCUUCGGGUUGUAAAGUACUUUCAGCGGGGAGGAAGGGAGUAAAGUUAAUACCUGUGCUCAUUGGCGUUACCCGCAGAAGAAGCACCGGCUAACUCCGUG